Molecule: ribosomal RNA, 426 nt
Filed under: Triticum aestivum (bread wheat)
Lineage: Eukaryota; Viridiplantae; Streptophyta; Magnoliopsida; Poales; Poaceae
Description: partial small subunit ribosomal RNA
Source: RNAcentral
AUGGAGAACAACAGAUGGAUCCGACACCUCAAAGCAAACCUAUCUGCACACGCAACAAGGGAAUUCCUGACGCUGUGGGAAGGAGUCCAAAAUUUACACCUAACAGAAGAGCCUGAUCGGGUUCGCUGGAAGUGGACAGCAAAUGGCAUGUACACGGCAAGAACGGCUUACACAAUUCAAUUUGAGGGCUGCACUCGAGCUGCUUGGGCUGCGCUCAUAUGGAAAUCCGAUGCACCGGGCAAAUGCAAGCUAUUUGCAUGGUUGGCACUGCUUGGCCGCUGCAACACGGUCGACGUUCUUGCAAAGAAAGGCUGGCCUCACAACCUGACUUGCUCCUUAUGCAAUGGACCAAUGGAGGACGUCGUGCACCUGCUAGCCUCCUGCCCCGUUGUAGGAUCGAAAGUAUGUCUAGAGGGGGAUGAUUAG